Non-coding RNA from Acanthosepion pharaonis, 110 nucleotides. The record is from the annotation of a GenBank genome assembly. Lineage: Eukaryota; Metazoa; Mollusca; Cephalopoda; Sepiida; Sepiidae.
GGUCACAUCAUAUUGAAGCACUGGUUCCCAUAUGGUCACCAAAGUUAAUCAGCAAUGAGCUCUAUCAGUACCUGGAUGGGUGACCCUUUGGGAGUACCAGGUAUUGUCAG